CAAGAGCUGGCCCCAUGGGGAGUGCUUUGUUGAUAGUGCCCAGUGCCCAGCAACCAGGCUGGGUUUGGGAAGGAGGCUGGAGUCUUCAGGAGGAAGGUCCUGCCCAAGAUGGUGCAGAGGGUGGUUCCCAUGGAUGCUCCUCUCCUCGCCUCCACACAGGAGAGGAAUGAACCUUGUUCCCAGCUGGAACCCCUCUCUGGAUUCCAGGUUUCCCCACCUGUUCUCGAGGUCCUGAUCCCAGGCCACGCUGGGACCCUUUCUCCAGUUCCAUCUUUGCUUCUUCCUGUGCCUUCCCCACCUUCUUGCAGCCCCUGGAACACAUCCCUGGAACAGCUUAUUCACCCCCACACAACCUUGAGUAGAUAAAGGCCCACAAAGGUAUUAGAGACUUCGUGUCAUCCUUUGAGCAAGGGGCUUGACCCCAAGUGCCCACCCCAAAACGCCUGUGGUAAUGGUGACACCAUAGGUGCCAUUCUGGGGAAGGGAGAGAGUGAGGGUGGAGGAUGUCAUCCCCAUAGUGGCAGGGCAAGAGACAGGUCCCCGCCCCAGGCAUCUUGGGCAGGUGGCUCCAGGUUCCGUUCU
This 582-nucleotide long non-coding RNA is filed under the name Homo sapiens (human). Its description in RNAcentral is "HSALNT0168060". The record is from RNAcentral. Lineage: Eukaryota; Metazoa; Chordata; Mammalia; Primates; Hominidae.